Molecule: ribosomal RNA, 378 nt
Filed under: uncultured beta proteobacterium
Lineage: Bacteria; Pseudomonadati; Pseudomonadota; Betaproteobacteria
Description: bacterial SSU rRNA
Rfam family: Bacterial small subunit ribosomal RNA
Source: RNAcentral
UUUAGUUGGGCACUCUAAUGAGACUGCCGGUGACAAACCGGAGGAAGGUGGGGAUGACGUCAAGUCCUCAUGGCCCUUAUGGGUAGGGCUUCACACGUCAUACAAUGGCGCGUACAGAGGGUUGCCAACCCGCGAGGGGGAGCUAAUCCCAGAAAGCGCGUCGUAGUCCGGAUCGGAGUCUGCAACUCGACUCCGUGAAGUCGGAAUCGCUAGUAAUCGCGGAUCAGCAUGUCGCGGUGAAUACGUUCCCGGGCCUUGUACACACCGCCCGUCACACCAUGGGAGUGGGUUUCACCAGAAGCAGUUAGCCUAACCGCAAGGGGGGCGAUUGCCACGGUGAGAUUCAUGACUGGGGUGAAGUCGUAACAAGGUAACCGU